This 465-nucleotide ribosomal RNA is filed under the name uncultured bacterium. RNAcentral describes it as "partial 16S ribosomal RNA". It matches the Rfam family "Bacterial small subunit ribosomal RNA", at positions 28 to 507 of the family's 1533-position model. The record is from RNAcentral.
GACGAACGCUGGCGGCGUGCUUAACACAUGCAAGUCGAACGGAAAGGCCCUGCUUGCAGGGUACUCGAGUGGCGAACGGGUGAGUAACACGUGGGUGAUCUGCCCUGCACUUCGGGAUAAGCCUGGGAAACUGGGUCUAAUACCGGAUAGGAGCCAUUUUUAGUGUGAUGGGUGGAAAGUUUUUUCGGUGUAGGAUGAGCGCGCGGCCUUUCAGCUUGUUGGUGGGGUAAUGGCCUACCCAGGCGGCGACGGGGAGCCGGCCUGGGAGGGUGGACGGCCACAUUGGGACUGGGAUACGGCCCAGACGCCUACGGGGGGCAGCAGGGGGGAAUAUUGCACCAGGGGCGGAAGCCUGAAUCAACGACGCCGCGUGGGGGGUGGCGGCCUUCGGGUUGUAAACUCCUUUCGCUAGGGACGAAGCUGUGUGUGACGGUACUUAGAUAAGAAGCACCGGCUAACUACGUG